Molecule: ribosomal RNA, 445 nt
Filed under: uncultured bacterium
Lineage: Bacteria
Description: partial 16S ribosomal RNA
Rfam family: Bacterial small subunit ribosomal RNA
Source: RNAcentral
GUGAGGAAUAUUGGACAAUGGAUGGAAAUCUGAUCCAGCCAUGCCGCGUGCAGGAAGACGGCCCUAUGGGUUGUAAACUGCUUUUGUAUGGGAGCAAUAAGGGCUACGUGUAGCCUGAUGAGAGUACCAUACGAAUAAGGACCGGCUAACUCCGUGCCAGCAGCCGCGGUAAUACGGAGGGUCCGAGCGUUAUCCGGAUUUAUUGGGUUUAAAGGGUGCGUAGGCGGUUUUAUAAUUCAGCGGUGGAAUUUUCCGGCUCAACCGGGAUACUGCCGUUGAUUCUGUAAGGCUAGGAUAUGGUUGCUGUGGGUGGAAUGUGUGGUGUAGCGGUGAAAUGCUUAGAGAUCACACAGAAUAUCGAUUGCGAAGGCAGCUCACAAAGCCAUUAUUGACGCUGAGGCACGAAAGUGUGGGGAUCAAACAGGAUUAGAAACCCGAGUAGUCC